This 509-nucleotide ribosomal RNA is filed under the name Paenibacillus elgii. RNAcentral's name for it is "bacterial SSU rRNA". It matches the Rfam family "Bacterial small subunit ribosomal RNA", at positions 1032 to 1533 of the family's 1533-position model. Lineage: Bacteria; Bacillati; Bacillota; Bacilli; Caryophanales; Paenibacillaceae. The record is from RNAcentral.
AGACAGGUGGUGCAUGGUUGUCGUCAGCUCGUGUCGUGAGAUGUUGGGUUAAGUCCCGCAACGAGCGCAACCCUUGAACUUAGUUGCCAGCAUUAAGUUGGGCACUCUAAGUUGACUGCCGGUGACAAACCGGAGGAAGGUGGGGAUGACGUCAAAUCAUCAUGCCCCUUAUGACCUGGGCUACACACGUACUACAAUGGCCGGUACAACGGGAAGCGAAGUCGCGAGAUGGAGCCAAUCCUAAGAAAGCCGGUCUCAGUUCGGAUUGCAGGCUGCAACUCGCCUGCAUGAAGUCGGAAUUGCUAGUAAUCGCGGAUCAGCAUGCCGCGGUGAAUACGUUCCCGGGUCUUGUACACACCGCCCGUCACACCACGAGAGUUUACAACACCCGAAGUCGGUGGGGUAACCGCAAGGAGCCAGCCGCCGAAGGUGGGGUAGAUGAUUGGGGUGAAGUCGUAACAAGGUAGCCGUAUCGGAAGGUGCGGCUGGAUCACCUCCUUUCUAUGGAG